CAUAGCGUAUAUUAAAUUUGUUGCGGUUAAAAGCUCGUAACUAAUUGGAUUUAUGCCGAGGACAUCUUCUUGGAGAACAUAUCUGCACUUGACUGUGUGGUGCGGUAUCCAGGACUUUUACUUUGAGGAAAUCAGAAUGUUUCUAGCAGGCAUACGCCUUGAAUACAAUAGCAUGGAAUAUUAAGAUAGGACCUUGGUUAUAUUUUGUUGGUUUCUAGAACUGAGGUAAUGAUUAAUAGGGAUAGUUGGGGGCGAUUCGUAUUUAACUUGUCAGAGGUGGGAAUUCUUGGUAUUUAUUUAAAGAACGGACUACUGCGAAAGACAUUUGUCCAAGGAUGUUUUCUAUUGAUCAAGAACGAAAGUUAAGGGGCGUC
Molecule: ribosomal RNA, 374 nt
Filed under: uncultured eukaryote
Lineage: Eukaryota
Description: bacterial SSU rRNA
Rfam family: Eukaryotic small subunit ribosomal RNA
Source: RNAcentral